Molecule: long non-coding RNA, 1795 nt
Organism: Homo sapiens (human)
Lineage: Eukaryota; Metazoa; Chordata; Mammalia; Primates; Hominidae
Source: Ensembl
CGCCGCGGCCCCACCCUCCCGCAUCAGCACCGGCUGGGUGGGUGCGGAGUGCGCCAGCGGCCAAGUCAAGACUCCUUGAAUGCUCAGGAAGGUGUGACUUGCAGAGGAGUUGAUUCCUUCUUAUGUACAUUUACUGGAGAAGUUUACAGCAGGAGACUGGGGUCUGAGACACACGCAUCUUUGUGUGCCCCAAAGAAUAAAGCCCUCAAAGGAUGUGAAGCCUGAACUCACUUCAAAUGCUGGAAAGGCCCUUUCCUUAGCUGAGCUGUGGAGGAACCAGGACUCCUGUGGCACUGCCCUAACGAGGAGGCAGUGCUGCCAGAUUCAGAAAAAUAUUUGAAGAAUCACAUAGUCAAAAGCAAAAAUCCAGAAAUGGUCAAGAGAACUACGAUUAUUGAGCCUCACUGAGUGUUCACACUGGUCUGCAAGACAGCUUUGAUUCAGCUGAUUUCAGCCAGGCUCACCCCGACUUUGCAGGGCGCUGCGAACCCCAGCCUUCAGGUCGGGUUCAGCAUCCAGCAGUGCCCUGGAAAAGUGGCUGUGAAGUUACUUGCAAGACUGCAUUGAACCCGGGCGAGACACUUCUCAGGGGAGCUGUCCAGCUACAUUCUCUGAACACAGGGAGAAGUCACAGUCUAUGAACCAGGAAUGUGGACCUCACCAGAUACUGAAUCUGCUGGUGCCUUGAUCUUGGACUUCCCAGCCUCCAGAACUGUCCUGAACAGCUUGGAGUACUAAGAAGAGCGCUGGACAUGAACUGGAAUAUGUGGGUUCAAAUCCCACCUUUUCACUGCCCAGCUCUGUGACCCUGAGCAAGUGACUCAACCUCUGUGAGCCCCGUGUCCUCUCUGUAAAAUGGAGGUAUGAAUGCCUGUGAGAACAGGAUAUGGGGAGGGUUCCUGUAUAACACUUCGCCCUGCCCAUCUGAAUAAAAGGCUGCAUUCACCCUUCCUAAGGAAGACCACUUUCCGAUGUUCCAGUCUGAAGACAAGGAAUGCAAAGCUCACGGAUGCCGAGGAAUUUAUCCAAGAUCACUGUGAUGGGAUGGGAACUUUGGUUUUCAGCCUUUAAAUACAUUGGUGCAGAAGUCCAAGAAAGAUGCUUGGAAAGACCUAGUGAGAUGAAGAUCUCACUAUGUUGCCUGGGCUGGUCUUGAAUUCCUGAGCUCAAGUGAUCCUCCAACCUUGGCCUCCCAAAGUGAUGGAAUUACAGGCGGUUUUUGGCUGUGAUCACUGGGAGAGAUAGAAGGGACUGUAUUUGCUCCAUCUUACCCAGCUCUGCAAACCUGCUGGAGAGUUUAAUUGAAAUUUUACCUAGGCUUACUCGUCCUGGAAAACCACAGACAAUACCUCUGGCUGCACGGGACACUGAAAUCUGUCGGGACCACUCCCUCUCCCAGCACAAUCAUCCAGGGGCACAGUCCUCAGCGGGAGCUCCAUCUCCUUGACCUCUUUCCCCAAGCAGGAAGAAAAUCUCAUGCUAUCAUAAUGUGCUGAAAUUGUGUUUGGAGAUGUAGUUUCCUAGGAAAAACAUCAUUUGGUUUCACAGAAGCUUCCUGUUGGAAACAGGAAAGAGGGGGACAAUGCUAAGGGCUGAGGGGCCCUCCUAGAAGGGCAGCAGGAGUGAUGGUCUUCUCAGCCCCGGCCCCUCCGCAACCAGCGAGAUGAUGCUGAGACUUGGUGAGGGCAGGGGGAUAGGAAAGGAGAGAGCAGAGGAUACAGGGAAGGUGGGGCUUGCAGGUGCCUAAGAGGGGCUGUCUCUGCUAGAAUCAAAUAAAAGGACAAAAGAAAAAGAA